Molecule: ribosomal RNA, 464 nt
Filed under: uncultured bacterium
Lineage: Bacteria
Description: partial 16S ribosomal RNA
Rfam family: Bacterial small subunit ribosomal RNA
Source: RNAcentral
ACGAACGCUGGCGGCGUGCUUAACACCUGCAAGUCGCACGGAAAGGCCCUGCUUGCCGGGUACUCGAGUGGCGAACGGGUGAGUAACACGUGGGUGAUCUGCCCUGCACUUCGGGAUAAGCCUGGGAAACUGGGUCUAAUACCGGAUAGGAGCCAUUUUUAGUGUGAUGGUUGGAAAGUUUUUUCGGUGUAGGAUGAGCUCGCGGCCUAUCAGCUUGUUGGUGGGGUAAUGGCCUACCAAGGCGGCGACGGGUAGCCGGCCUGAGAGGGUGGACGGCCACAGUGGGACUGAGAUACGGCCCAGACUCCUACGGGAGGCAGCAGUGGGGAAUAUUGCACAAUGGGCGCAAGCCUGAUGCAGCGACGCCGCGUGGGGGAUGACGGCCUUCGGGUUGUAAACUCCUUUCGCUAGGGACGAAGCUUUUUGUGACGGUACCUAGAUAAGAAGCACCGGCUAACUACGUG